This 75-nucleotide transfer RNA is filed under the name Escherichia coli. RNAcentral's name for it is "tRNA-Asn". It matches the Rfam family "tRNA". Rfam says of the family: Transfer RNA (tRNA) molecules are approximately 80 nucleotides in length. Their secondary structure includes four short double-helical elements and three loops (D, anti-codon, and T loops). Further hydrogen bonds mediate the characteristic L-shaped molecular structure. tRNAs have two regions of fundamental functional importance: the anti-codon, which is responsible for specific mRNA codon recognition, and the 3' end, to which the tRNAs corresponding amino acid is attached (by aminoacyl-tRNA synthetases). tRNAs cope with the degeneracy of the genetic code in two manners: having more than one tRNA (with a specific anti-codon) for a particular amino acid; and 'wobble' base-pairing, i.e. permitting non-standard base-pairing at the 3rd anti-codon position. Lineage: Bacteria; Pseudomonadati; Pseudomonadota; Gammaproteobacteria; Enterobacterales; Enterobacteriaceae. The record is from RNAcentral.
GAUGGUGUAGCUCAGCGGUAGAGCAGUUGGCUGUUAACCAACUGGUCGGUAGUUCGAAUACACCCACCAUCGCCA